AGUGAACGCUGGCGGUAGGCCUAACACAUGCAAGUCGAACGGCAGCACAGUAAGAGCUUGCUCUUACGGGUGGCGAGUGGCGGACGGGUGAGGAAUACAUCGGAAUCUACUUUUUCGUGGGGGAUAACGUAGGGAAACUUACGCUAAUACCGCAUACGACCUACGGGUGAAAGUAGGGGAUCUUCGGACCUUGCGCGAUUGAAUGAGCCGAUGUCGGAUUAGCUAGUUGGCGGGGUAAAGGCCCACCAAGGCGACGAUCCGUAGCUGGUCUGAGAGGAUGAUCAGCCACACUGGAGCUGAGACACGGUCCAGACUCCUACGGGAGGCAGCAGUGGGGAAUAUUGGACAAUGGGCGGAAGCCUGAUCCAGCCAUACCGCGUGGGUGAAGAAGGCCUUCGGGUUGUAAAGCCCUUUUGUUGGGAAAGAAAAGCAGCAGGUUAAUACCCCGCUGUUCUGACGGUACCCAAAGAAUAAGCACCGGCUAACUUCGUG
This 492-nucleotide ribosomal RNA is filed under the name uncultured bacterium. RNAcentral's name for it is "partial 16S ribosomal RNA". It matches the Rfam family "Bacterial small subunit ribosomal RNA", at positions 29 to 507 of the family's 1533-position model. The record is from RNAcentral.